AUACGGAGGGUGCAAGCGUUAUUCGGAAUCACUGGGCGUAAAGGACGCGUAGGCGGGUUGGCAAGUCAGAUGUGAAAUACUACAGCUUAACUGUAGAACUGCAUUUGAAACUGCUAACCUAGAGUAUGGGAGGGGGAGAUGGAAUUAGCGGUGUAGGGGUAAAAUCCGUAGAUAUCACUAGGAAUACCGAAAGCGAAGGCGAUCUCCUGGAACAUAACUGACGCUAAGGCGUGAAAGCGUGGGGAGCAAACAGGAUUAGAAACCCGAGUAGUCC
This 274-nucleotide ribosomal RNA is filed under the name uncultured bacterium. RNAcentral's name for it is "partial 16S ribosomal RNA". It matches the Rfam family "Bacterial small subunit ribosomal RNA", at positions 523 to 796 of the family's 1533-position model. The record is from RNAcentral.